CAAUAGCGUAUAUUAAAGUUGUUGCGGUAAAAAGCUCGUAGUUGGAUUUCUGUUGAGAACGACCGGUCCACACAACGUGUGCGCAUCUGGUUCGGUCUCGGCAUCCUCUCGAAAGACGACUCUGCGCUUGAUUGCGUGGAUCGGAUUCCGGGACUUUUACUUUGAGGAAAUUAGAGUGUUCACGGCAGGCUAUCGCCAGGAUACAUUAGCAUGGAAUAAUACUAUAGGAUCUUGAUCCUAUUUUGUUGGUUUCUAGGAGCAAGAUAAUGAUUAAUAGGGACAAUUGGGGGCAUUCGUAUCAACACGUCAGAGGUGGAAUUCUUGGAUUGUGUUGCGACGAACUACUGCGAAAGCAUUUGCCAAGGAUGUUUUCAUUGAUCAAGAACGAAAGUUAGGGGAUCGAAGACGAUUAGAUACCAU
Molecule: ribosomal RNA, 420 nt
Filed under: uncultured eukaryote
Lineage: Eukaryota
Description: SSU rRNA
Rfam family: Eukaryotic small subunit ribosomal RNA
Source: RNAcentral